CAAGUUGAAUCCAUAUUGGAAUUAUUAUUUACAUUAAUAAUUCGGGUUUUAAGUUACCCCAGCUUGA
RNAcentral lists this transfer RNA (67 nucleotides) under Onymocoris hackeri. RNAcentral's name for it is "tRNA-Val". Lineage: Eukaryota; Metazoa; Arthropoda; Insecta; Hemiptera; Thaumastocoridae. The record is from RNAcentral.